RNAcentral lists this ribosomal RNA (351 nucleotides) under uncultured bacterium. RNAcentral describes it as "bacterial SSU rRNA". It matches the Rfam family "Bacterial small subunit ribosomal RNA", at positions 28 to 376 of the family's 1533-position model. The record is from RNAcentral.
GACGAACGUUGGCGGCGUGCUUAAUACAUGCAAGUCAACUGAAGCACCGGUAGUAAUACUGGUGUGGAGGUGGCGCACGGGUGAGUAACACGUAGGUAAUCUGCCUUCAGGUCUGACAUAACCCGAGAAAUCGAGGCUAAUAGCAGAUGAUGCAGCGGCUUGACAUCAAGACAGUUGUUAAAAGCUUCGGCGCCUGAAGAUGAGCCUGCGUCUGAUUAGCUAGUUGGCGGAGUAAUAGCCCACCAAGGCGACGAUCAGUAGCUGGUCUGAGAGGAUGAUCAGCCACACUGGAACUGAGACACGGUCCAGACUCCUACGGGAGGCAGCAGUAAGGAAUAUUGCUCAAUGGGA